This is a non-coding RNA of Heterocephalus glaber (naked mole-rat), 2230 nucleotides long. The record is from RefSeq and is a predicted model, not a curated record. NCBI's taxonomy places the organism in Eukaryota, Metazoa, Chordata, Mammalia, Rodentia, Bathyergidae.
CUAUGACCAGGGCUGCGGCAGCACAACCCAAAUGAGGCGGUGAAUUUUCAGGUCGUUUUCUACGGAUCGGCUCUAGUCCGCCUUCCUGGCCCUUGUUUGGUGGGACCGAAUGGGACAGGGUCAUUUGGAGACCUCGACCUCGAGAGGAUAUUUUAUGAAACAAAACCUAAGAUUACUGUACACAUAUUGACACUAUUCUCAGAGUAAGUGUAGGCCUACCGAUGUCAGUUCCCAGCCAUAAUGCAUACCAGUAACCUUAGCUUCAAAACAAUCGUCAAAGUUCUUGACUUUACAGGCAACCCAGAUUGCAAUCUAAAGAGAUCAGGGCUGGGGGUGUGACUCCCAGAGACCUUGCCUCCCUAUCCCUAGUACUACAAAAGACAGACGGACACAGAGAGGGCAUGUACUCUCAAUGACAGUGGAUGACGCACCUCACUUUACAUCCACUCAUGUACUCAGCUCUGAUUACUGAGCAGCUACUUACUAUGUGCUUCAGGCAUGGGUUAGAGUUCAGGAAUACACGGACCUUCCUUUGAGACAGGGUUCCUGCUUUGGAUGUCACUAUCUGAGCAGAGAGAGGCACAGAGAGGCCAUCACAAUACAAGAUGAUGGGGAUACAGGGACAGAAGAAAGGUUGGAGCUGCCAGACUAAGGCCUUUCCAGCAAAAGUUAAAAGAGGUGGGCUCGGUGCUCCUGCAGCCUCGGCCCUUCCUCAGGUGACCUGCCGAAGGGGUCCCCAGGAAGGCUACCCUGGAAGGGGCAUCUGUGUCCUGCUCCUGGCGGCUCUGCAGGACUCUGCAAGACAGGAGUCGUGGUCCCUCCAGAUCUCCAGGUCCUGAGCCUCAGAGCUCAUCCUGACCCGUUCCUAGGGAUGCACCCUAUCCCCACCUGAGACCCGGGAACCUGCUGGCCUGUCACAGCCUCGAGGUAACAGUCACAUUCCUGAAAAUCGCUGCCCAGGCAGCAGCACCCCAGAAAGGCACUGUUGGGGCAAGGGGCACCACCACCAUGGCAGGGAAGAUAGGGCACCAGGCAGCAAGUUCAUGGUGCCUCUGGGCCUCUGGCACAGCCUGUGUCGGUGUGUGUGAGCAUGCGUGUGACAGUGUGUGUGUGUGUGGCGGGGACACAGACUCAUCUGCAGAUGGCCUCUUCUGCCUCAGAACUUUCAGUGCUCCUGGGAGGGGACCCUGACCCAAAGAACCCUGGUGGCCCCCAGUGCUCAAGGUCCCUGCCAUCAGGGAUCAGGGUGACAGCCCUCCGGAAGGAGUGCUUCCUGGAGACAGCAGGUGACAGGAGCCAAGAAGCCCUCCCACUGUGGGAAGCUGGUCAGGUUCAGCCCCGUCCUGGCCAUGCUGGACCUUCCUGCAGGGCCCAGCCUCCUUCCUCCCUCUCCUUCCCUCAUCCAUCUGUUCGGGACGCAUGAUGCGGGCAUCAGAGAUUCCCAGGCGCCCAGGCCUUUGAAUUAUGGAGCAGCUUUCCUGCCCCUCUCAGAAAGGCCCUGACUGACUACUUCACUGCCCUGGGAAGCCCCAGUGGUUUCCUCCUGGCAGAAGUAGGUCAGGCAUGGAUGGCCGUGGGGGUCAGCAGGCAGGAGGCCCGGCUGGCUUGGCCAGUGCCCUGCUGGACCAGAUAGCACAGCAAGGCGAGGGUGCAGGGGAGGGAGGGUGUCAUCCCUCCUCCUGGAGGCCCCCACCUAGCACCCAGGCUUCUCCUCCUUUCCUUCCCCUCCUCACCGUCAACCUGGGCCAGCAGCCGCCAACAGUCGCCAGCGGCGAGCAGCGUAGGCCUGAGCCACCAGGGUGCUAGUGGACCAGUGACGGGGGCCAGACGCAGCCUCCCCAGCCUGUCUCAGGAGCCCAGCAAGGGGCAGGCUCUGUCCCAGGCACAAGCCAGGUGCAGGUGGCUCCCCGGGUAGAUGCAGAAGGAAAAAGCAAAUGGUGAAACCAUCAGGUCAGUGUUACGGCCCCGCUCCGGUGAGGAAACCCAGACUGCAGAUCACACAAAGGGCAUCCUGACCUCUGCCUGGGCAGCCUGGGUCUCAGCACCGCCCAGCUCUGGGGACCUGCACACCCUGGGAGGGGUCCCUGGUGGGCCUUGGGUGCAACCCAUGGUCACAGGGUGGAAAAAGGACCACUUCUUCGCCAGCUCAGCCCCAGCGCUCAGGGCCCAGAGAGACCACAGGCUGCAAACAGAAGCUCAGGUCCCUCCGGUCGUCCUGUGGGAGUCCAGG